UACGUAGGGUGCGAGCGUUGCCCGGAUUUAUUGGGCGUAAAGGGCGCGUAGGCGGCCUGGCGCGUCGGCUGUGAAAUCUCCCGGCUCAACUGGGAGGGGACGGCCGAUACGGCUGGGCUUGAGCGAGGUAGGGGAGAGUGGAAUUCCCGGUGUAGUGGUGAAAUGCGUAGAUAUCGGGAGGAACACCAGUGGCGAAGGCGGCUUCCUGGCCUGUUCUUGACGCUGAGGCGCGAAAGCUAGGGGAGCAAACGGG
RNAcentral lists this ribosomal RNA (253 nucleotides) under uncultured bacterium. RNAcentral describes it as "partial 16S ribosomal RNA". It matches the Rfam family "Bacterial small subunit ribosomal RNA", at positions 524 to 776 of the family's 1533-position model. The record is from RNAcentral.